This 1051-nucleotide ribosomal RNA is filed under the name uncultured bacterium. RNAcentral describes it as "bacterial SSU rRNA". It matches the Rfam family "Bacterial small subunit ribosomal RNA", at positions 240 to 1295 of the family's 1533-position model. The record is from RNAcentral.
AUUAGGUAGAUGGCGGGGUAACGGCCCACCAUGCCUACGAUGUCUAGGGGUUCUGAGAGGAAGGUCCCCCACACUGGAACUGAGACACGGUCCAGACUCCUACGGGAGGCAGCAGUGAGGAAUAUUGGUCAAUGGUCGGAAGACUGAACCAGCCAAGUAGCGUGAAGGAUGAAGGUUCUAUGGAUUGUAAACUUCUUUUAUACGGGAAUAAAACCACCUACGUGUAGGUGCUUGUAUGUACCGUAUGAAUAAGCAUCGGCUAACUCCGUGCCAGCAGCCGCGGUAAUACGGAGGAUGCGAGCGUUAUCCGGAUUUAUUGGGUUUAAAGGGAGCGUAGACGGGAGAUUAAGUCAGUUGUGAAAGGCUGCGGCUCAACCGCAGCACUGCAGUUGAUACUGGUUUCCUUGAGUGCGGUUGAGGUAUGUGGAAUUCGUGGUGUAGCGGUGAAAUGCUUAGAUAUCACGAAGAACUCCUAUUGCGAAGGCAGCAUACUAAGCCGCUACUGACGUUGAGGCUCGAAAGUGUGGGUAUCAAACAGGAUUAGAUACCCUGGUAGUCCACACGGUAAACGAUGAAUACUCGCUGUUGGCGAUAUAUUGUCAGCGGCCAAGCGAAAGCAUUAAGUAUUCCACCUGGGGAGUACGCCGGCAACGGUGAAACUCAAAGGAAUUGACGGGGGCCCGCACAAGCGGAGGAACAUGUGGUUUAAUUCGAUGAUACGCGAGGAACCUUACCCGGGCUUAAAUUGCGUUGGACAGAUUGGGAGACCAAUCCUUCUUCGGACCAGCGUGAAGGUGCUGCAUGGUUGUCGUCAGCUCGUGCCGUGAGGUGUCGGCUUAAGUGCCAUAACGAGCGCAACCCUUGCCAAUAGUUACCAUCAGGUCAUGCUGGGGACUCUAUUGGGACUGCCAUCGUAAGAUGUGAGGAAGGUGGGGAUGACGUCAAAUCAGCACGGCCCUUACGUCCGGGGCUACACACGUGUUACAAUGGGAGGUACAGAAGGCUGCUACCCGGCGACGGGAUGCCAAUCCCCAAAACCUCUCUCAGUUCG